Molecule: long non-coding RNA, 234 nt
Organism: Orcinus orca (killer whale)
Lineage: Eukaryota; Metazoa; Chordata; Mammalia; Artiodactyla; Delphinidae
Exons: 2
Source: RefSeq, a predicted model, not a curated record
CAAAGAUCUGGGCUUCCCUGGUGGCGCAGUGGUUGAGAGUCUGCCUGCCGAUGCAGGGGACACGGGUUCGUGGCCCGGUCCGGGAAGAUCCCACAUGCUGUGGAGCGGCUGGGCCCGUGAGCCAUGGCCGCUGAGCCUGCAUGUCCGGAGCCUGUGCUCCGCAACGGGAGAGGCCACAACAGUGAGAGGCCCGCGUACCGCAAAAAAAAAAAAAAAAAAAAAAAGAAAGAAAUU